AGAGUUUGAUCAUGGCUCAGAUUGAACGCUGGCGGAAUGCCUAACACAUGCAAGUCGAGCGGGGUAGCAAUAUCCAGCGGCGGACGGGUGAGGAAUACAUAGGAAUCUGCCUUUAGGUGGGGGAUAGCUAGGGGAAACUCUGGGUAAUACCGCAUGAUCUCGCAAGAGCAAAGGGGCGCAAGUCUCGCCUUUAGAGGAGCCUAUGUCUGAUUAGCUAGUUGGCGGUGUAAUAGACCACCAAGGCGAUGAUCAGUAACUGGUCUGAGAGGACGAUCAGUCACACCGGAACUGAGACACGGUCCGGACUCCUACGGGAGGCAGCAGUGGGGAAUAUUGGACAAUGGGCGAAAGCCUGAUCCAGCAAUUCCGCGUGUGUGAAGAAGGCCUUCGGGUUGUAAAGCACUUUAGUGGGGGAAGAAACAGCUUGGCCACACCAAGCCUUGACGGUACCCCAAGAAUAAGCACCGGCUAACUCUGUGCCAGCAGCCGCGGUAAUACAGAGGGUGCAAGCGUUAAUCGGAUUUACUGGGCGUAAAGGGUGCGUAGGUGGCUAUUUAAGUCGGAUGUGAAAGCCCGGGGCUCAACCUCGGAAUUGCAUUCGAUACUGAGUGGCUAGAGUUCGGUAGAGGGCGGCGGAAUUUCCGGUGUAGCGGUGAAAUGCGUAGAUAUCGGAAGGAACAUCAAUGGCGAAGGCAGCCGCCUGGGCCUGGACUGACACUGAGGCACGAAAGCGUGGGUAGCAAACAGGAUUAGAUACCCUGGUAGUCCA
Molecule: ribosomal RNA, 769 nt
Filed under: uncultured bacterium
Lineage: Bacteria
Description: bacterial SSU rRNA
Rfam family: Bacterial small subunit ribosomal RNA
Source: RNAcentral